GUGGCAAUGUUGGGGCAAUUUUGUCCAGUAAUUUUUUUUGAUCAAGGGUUGAGAGCAGUUGUCACGAGAAGCCACGUGAAAAAAGAAGCCACAAGAAUUACCCAAACCCCCUUUACAUGUAACAAAAGUUACAAAACCACCUACCACAACUAAACAAAACUCAACAGGUAAAUUAACCCAAAAAUUUGUCAGAAGCAGAAAAAGAAGACGUGAACAAUUUUUUGCUGAAACAGAACAAAAUCCCUGAAAUCGCUACUUCCUAAUGUCCUUGACCUUGUACCAUCCCUUCUUGCAUGAAUCUCCAACAAUCUUCACCCCUUCCUGGAAAAGGAUCUUCAAUUCCUUGGCCCUUUCCUUCACUUUAUGCUCAAAAGCUCCCCAUUUCUUGAAAAACAAGAGCAGAGAAGAGAAACAGAGGCAGGCAAAAGAGUUUCUACAUUGAGCAGGUGGGCUUAUGAAAAGUGCGUGAACAGCUGCUCACUGUCCAGCAAUUUACUGACCCUACAACUCAACUCCUCUGUUUAUUCGUAAAUAACAACUGUGUGUAUGCUUGAGACCUCGUUGCCAGGUAGCUGGCACAAUAGCCGCGAUUUCAGAAAGAUGCUCCCUUUCCUUGCCAAUGUUAUUAUUAUCCUCCGGGUGUCCCUCCCGUUUAAUUUGAUUAAAGUGGGGCUCGAUUUUGCGGCACGCCGAGCAGCCUUGGCUACGUUGCUAGGCGGGAGUGGAGUUUGGGGACGUCUGCUCCGGCUGCAGCAACCGGCAGUCCUCUGGUUGAACGGUUAGUCCUGGUGGAAGGAUGUGAAGUAGUUUCGGAUUCAUCUUCUUGGGUGGAGGUGGUGGCGGUUCCUCUGGCAGCGGUGCGAGGAACGCUGAGGGAUGCGACUUGGGGUUUGGCUGGCGACUCGGUGGAAGAUGCCGAAGGUCCAGCAACUCCUCUAUUGUUCUGAAAUUAGCCGUAUCGGACUUUUGGGGUCAGUAAAUUGCUGGAUAAAAUUGUCCCGGACAUUGCUACGUGUAAUGCUAAUUUUAGAACUUAAGAAUAAUUAACG
This 1049-nucleotide long non-coding RNA is filed under the name Coffea arabica (coffee). Its description in RNAcentral is "long non-coding RNA (CARA_LNC002749)". The record is from RNAcentral. Lineage: Eukaryota; Viridiplantae; Streptophyta; Magnoliopsida; Gentianales; Rubiaceae.